Molecule: ribosomal RNA, 163 nt
Filed under: Panicum sumatrense
Lineage: Eukaryota; Viridiplantae; Streptophyta; Magnoliopsida; Poales; Poaceae
Description: 5.8S ribosomal RNA
Rfam family: 5.8S ribosomal RNA
About the family: 5.8S ribosomal RNA (5.8S rRNA) is a component of the large subunit of the eukaryotic ribosome. It is transcribed by RNA polymerase I as part of the 45S precursor that also contains 18S and 28S rRNA.
Source: RNAcentral
CACACGACUCUCGGCAACGGAUAUCUCGGCUCUCGCAUCGAUGAAGAACGUAGCAAAAUGCGAUACCUGGUGUGAAUUGCAGAAUCCCGCGAACCAUCGAGUUUUUGAACGCAAGUUGCGCCCGAGGCCUUCUGGUCGAGGGCACGCCUGCCUGGGCGUCACG